ACACGUCUACAUUAGAUACCCCCUGUAGUCCCAGCCGUAAACUAUGCGCGUUAGGUGUAUCGGUGACCACGAGUCACCGAGGUGCCGAAGGGAAACCGUGAAACGUGCCGCCUGGGAAGUACGGUCGCAAGGCUGAAACUUAAAGGAAUUGGCGGGGAGCACAACAACGGGUGGAGCCUGCGGUUUAAUUGGACUCAACGCCGGACAACUCACCGGGGACGACAGCAAUAUGUAGGCCAGGCUGAAGACUCUGCAUGACUAGCUG
RNAcentral lists this ribosomal RNA (265 nucleotides) under uncultured archaeon. RNAcentral's name for it is "partial 16S ribosomal RNA". It matches the Rfam family "Archaeal small subunit ribosomal RNA", at positions 717 to 982 of the family's 1478-position model. The record is from RNAcentral.